GUAGGGGAGGCCAUUAAGGUGGUCCGGCGGUUCUCUUUACCUGAUGUCUGUAAACGGGAACUCUCCAAUAUUGCAGGUGUCUUCCGUUUUCCACGGGUUUCUUGUGCAGCAGCAUCUGCAGAUGAUGCUGAUUUGGAUCCUGGUGUUGCUGAGCUUCCUCCACAACCAUUGCUUGAGAGACUUGCAAAGGAACUUCGUCACCGACUUGGUCUCCGGCUGUUUAAUUUGGAUAUAAUCCGAGAGCAUGGGACCAGAGAUCAAUUUUAUGUCAUUGACAUCAACUACUUCCCUGGAUAUGGGAAAAUGCCAGAAUAUGAGCAUAUAUUUACGGACUUCCUUUUGAGCCUGGGGCAGAGUCAAUACAAGAAAAGAUCCUCAUAGGAACUGUUGGGAAGUGUCGCUGACUUUGCAGUAUGUCAAAAACAUGAUGUUGCCUGAAUAAGUGUUUGCGGGUUGAGAGCUUUUUUGCUUUGCUAAACUAUGUAUAGCAUAAUGUAGUUCCUGCCAGCGGCUGGAGGAGGACAUGCGCAAAAUGCAAAUUCUUCCAACCUUCAACCUCUGUAACUAUUGACUUGCUGGUAGGACUCUGGCGCUUUCAUCUCCCUGACGCGAAGCUGGAUUUACUCAAUAUGAUAUGUUUGUCGUAUAAUUCUUUCAUGUUGUUCCAAUGUUUUAUGAGCAGUUUUGUGAAUCGUGAGAAGACACCACCUCAUAUUGUCUGUGUAGGCCGUGGCGGA
This 737-nucleotide unclassified non-coding RNA is filed under the name Hevea brasiliensis (rubber tree). Lineage: Eukaryota; Viridiplantae; Streptophyta; Magnoliopsida; Malpighiales; Euphorbiaceae. The record is from RNAcentral.